GGACGUCGCCACAAGGACUCUGCAUGGACACUUCCAGGCUCGGCGUGCUGGAUUACUGCUGCCUCUGUCUACCUAUGGUGAACACACACCUCCCCCCCCACCAACACCAACACCAGUACAACACAGCACUGAACUCCACUUUGCAACUCAUCACUGCAGUAGGUGAAAGACCACCAUUGAAGAUCUCCUACCAUGCUGGCCUUCUACAUAUCUCUACCAAUCACAGCCUUCCUUCUGGAGCACUGAUGAAGACCUAAGCAUUCAGUUACAUGCGGUUAUUCCAGCAGCUGAAUUAGUCUUCCCCAGGAAUGGAGCGACACCCUCCCAGUCUGACCAGUUCACCACAGGAAUGCCUGGUCCAGGCUCCAGAAGAGGCGUUUAAAAAAUUAAACACAUUCUCCUCAAACCUCAAGCCUAAUCUCUCACAGCCAACAUCCACUCCCAGCGAGGCCGGCAUGCUGACUGGCCAGUCGGCUCAGUCGCUACAUAUAAAAUGCAUUAGCUUUAUGUAAUAAAAUUGAUAUUACAGCACUCA
This 535-nucleotide long non-coding RNA is filed under the name Astyanax mexicanus (Mexican tetra). RNAcentral's name for it is "lncRNA (ENSAMXG00005005013.1)". The record is from RNAcentral. Lineage: Eukaryota; Metazoa; Chordata; Actinopteri; Characiformes; Acestrorhamphidae.